UAUGUCCUUCAGGAAAAGCAUCUACCUGAUUGACUAGUGCAACAUGGCUUUGUUCAGUCAGAUAGGUAAUCACUGAUCUAUUAUUCUGUCAUAGAGGACACUGUUCAGAGGAAACCAAAAAUAACACUGAGAUUCCUGAGAAUUUUAAACAGCUUAAUACUGGUCACCACAGCACAUAAUCGUUUCUAUUGUUUUGAUAGAGGGGUGCAGAACACAGAUUCUCCCCUCCCCACCUCUACAAAUUUUCUCUUCUUUGUGGGGUUAUAACCGUAUUUUUUUAAAUGGGGACAUUAUUGUUUAGACGUACUACCACUGAGAUUACGACUUUCCCUACAACAUUACAGUUGAGAAGAAGGUUACCAAGUCAUUUCGGAUGAUGUGCCUCCACAAACAGCUAUCAAAAGCUUAUGCUUAUCUCUGGCAAAUACAGCAAUCCCCAUUCAAACCUCCCAGCAUCUUAGGCAUCUUGAAAAGUACCGAAUGCACAAUUGUCCCCAUCACUUCACCAAGUCAUUUGUACACAAAACAAUUGCCACAUCCCCAGAUGAUUUUAACCUAUGAGCAAUGUUUGUUAAUCUCUUUUUUUUUCCCCUCACGAAUUUCUACAUGUUCACUUCAACACAGAAGCAUGUAAAAAGCUCUCAACUGAAUUGGAAGUUUUAUAUAAUAGCAAAGGAUAAAGUGGAACAAAGCACCUGUGCUUUAGAAUGAAAGAAAAACCUAUGUCUGAAUCUUAGUAUAUCACUUAGUACUUGUCUGCCAUUGGGAAAAUAGUUAAUGUUUCUGAAUUUCAACUCCCUUAGGUCUACAAUAAAGAUAAUAGUAGCUGUCUAA
This is a non-coding RNA of Rattus norvegicus (Norway rat), 834 nucleotides long. The record is from RefSeq and is a predicted model, not a curated record. NCBI's taxonomy places the organism in Eukaryota, Metazoa, Chordata, Mammalia, Rodentia, Muridae.